CCCUUAGAUGUCCGGGGCUGCAUGCGCGCUACACUGUAGAAAGCAGCGUGCUUUAAAACCUUUCCUGAAAAGGAUGGGUAACCCCAGCAAAAUUCUACGUGCUUGGGAUAGAGAUUUGCAAUUUUCUCUCUUGAACGAGGAAUUCCCAGUAAGUGCGAGUCAUCAGCUCGCGUUGAUUACGUCCCUGCCCUUUGUACACACCGCCCGUCGCUACUACCGAUUGGGAAAAUUUUAGAGAGUCCUGGACUGAUGAUUGUUCGGCUUCACGGCCUUACUUUCGUCGGGAAAGAAUUCGAUAAUAUUUUUCUAGAGGAAGUAAAAGUCGUAACA
Molecule: ribosomal RNA, 330 nt
Filed under: uncultured eukaryote
Lineage: Eukaryota
Description: partial 18S ribosomal RNA
Rfam family: Eukaryotic small subunit ribosomal RNA
Source: RNAcentral